This 231-nucleotide long non-coding RNA is filed under the name Panax ginseng (ginseng). Its description in RNAcentral is "long non-coding RNA (PGIN_LNC002648)". The record is from RNAcentral. Lineage: Eukaryota; Viridiplantae; Streptophyta; Magnoliopsida; Apiales; Araliaceae.
AAAAAGAGCAAUCCUAGAUAGAGAAAGAGACGUUUUUUGAAAAAAUACUCCCUAAAUUCCACAUAAAUCUAGCUAUUUGUAUAUAGAUCUAUCAUCAAUUGAGUGAGAUAUCAUAGAUCCAAGACUGGAAAACUUGUCCCUCCAUUUUAAAAGGUGAAAGACUCAAUCUUUAUGUAUAUUUAAUGUAGAUUUAAUAGAUCUAGCAUAGAUCUGUUUUUUGUGACGAAAGAU